This 408-nucleotide ribosomal RNA is filed under the name uncultured bacterium. Its description in RNAcentral is "partial 16S ribosomal RNA". It matches the Rfam family "Bacterial small subunit ribosomal RNA", at positions 28 to 526 of the family's 1533-position model. The record is from RNAcentral.
GACGAACGCUGGCGGCGUGCUUAACACAUGCAAGUCGAACGAAGUGGCGAACGGGUGAGUAACGCGUAAUCAACCCGCCCUUCAGAGGGGGACAACAGUUGGAAACGACUGCUAACACCGCAUCCUGAAGGAGGGGGUUGCGUCGGAUGAGCUAGUUGGAGGGGUACCGGCCCACAAAGGCUAUGAUCAGUAGCCGGUCUGAGAGGAUGAACGGCCACAUUGGGACGGAGACACGGCCCAGACUCCUACGGGAGGCAGCAGUGGGGAAUCUUCCGCAAUGGACGAAAGUCUGACGGAGCAACGCCGCGUGAGUGAUGACGGCCUUCGGGUUGUAAAGCUCUGUUAAUCGGGACGCGGUACCGGAAUAGAAAGCCACGGCUAACUACGUGCCAGCAGCCGCGGUAAUUC